Molecule: ribosomal RNA, 497 nt
Filed under: uncultured bacterium
Lineage: Bacteria
Description: partial 16S ribosomal RNA
Rfam family: Bacterial small subunit ribosomal RNA
Source: RNAcentral
GAUGAACGCUGGCGGCGUGCCUAAUACAUGCAAGUCGAGCGAACGGACGAGAAGCUUGCUUCUCUGAUGUUAGCGGCGGACGGGUGAGUAACACGUGGAUAACCUACCUAUAAGACUGGGAUAACUUCGGGAAACCGGAGCUAAUACCGGAUAAUAUUUUGAACCGCAUGGUUCAAAAGUGAAAGACGGUCUUGCUGUCACUUAUAGAUGGAUCCGCGCUGCAUUAGCCAGUUGGUAAGGUAACGGCUUACCAAGGCAACGAUGCAUAGCCGACCUGAGAGGGUGGUCGGCCACACUGGAACUGAGACACGGUCCAGACUCCUACGGGAGGCAGCAGUAGGGAAUCUUCCGCAAUGGGCGAAAGCCUGACGGAACAACGCCGCGUGAGUGAUGAAGGUCUUCGGAUCGUAAAACUCUGUUAUUAGGGAAGAACAUAUGUGUAAGUAACUGUGCACAUCUUGACGGUACCUAAUCAGAAAGCCACGGCUAACUACGUG